RNAcentral lists this ribosomal RNA (482 nucleotides) under uncultured bacterium. RNAcentral's name for it is "partial 16S ribosomal RNA". It matches the Rfam family "Bacterial small subunit ribosomal RNA", at positions 30 to 507 of the family's 1533-position model. The record is from RNAcentral.
AUUGAACGCUGGCGGCAUGCCUUACACAUGCAAGUCGAACGGUAACAGGUCUUCGGAUGCUGACGAGUGGCGAACGGGUGAGUAAUACAUCGGAACGUGCCCGAUCGUGGGGGAUAACGGAGCGAAAGCUUUGCUAAUACCGCAUACGAUCUACGGAUGAAAGCAGGGGACCGCAAGGCCUUGCGCGGACGGAGCGGCCGAUGGCAGAUUAGGUAGUUGGAGGGAUAAAAGCUUACCAAGCCGACGAUCUGUAGCUGGUCUGAGAGGACGACCAGCCACACUGGGACUGAGACACGGCCCAGACUCCUACGGGAGGCAGCAGUGGGGAAUUUUGGACAAUGGGCGAAAGCCUGAUCCAGCCAUGCCGCGUGCAGGAUGAAGGCCUUCGGGUUGUAAACUGCUUUUGUACGGAACGAAAAGACUCUUUCUAAUAAAGAGGGUCCAUGACGGUACCGUAAGAAUAAGCACCGGCUAACUACGUG